UUGAGGCCCCCUAAAAUUGGGGGCCUAAGGCCAAUGUCUUAUUUUUGUAUACAUAUAGCCGGCCCUGAUGCUUGUAUGUGUAAGUGAUAAUGUCCAUGCUGCUCAGAUCAUGUCUAGUCCUUUAGGAAAGCUUAUUCUGACGAGUUAUUAGUGAAAAUGUAUGCUUCUUCAGUUGAGUUAAAGUACAUGACUUUGUUUGCCAGUAUUUGUGCCCCAUUAUAGAUAUAUGCUAUUCCAAAUUUUGCUUUACAACUACAUGAUAAUUUUGUUCCGACUUGCAGAUUAUAUCUUCAAGUAUUUAUUAGGCCAAAACUGAUUCGACUUGGUUCAAAUGCGCCUAUGAUUUUGUUUAAAUUUACAGCAGAAACUUUAAUGCAUAUUAGAAGUUACUCUACGUAUGAUUGGUGUUGUGAUAUGCAUGGUUGUGUUCGAGUAUUAGUCAUCUCGUUCUCUGCAAAUAAAAUAUGGUUUUAUAUGUUUGUUGAUCAUUUUUUAAGAAUUGAUUUGUGGUAUAUUUUAAGGAUUAGAAAUUUAGAUGUAUUUGUUAUGUAGUUCUGUGUGUGAGUAUAAGUAGAAAGAGCUUAAAAUGCCAAGUUAGAUCUUACUACUUUUAAGAAAUUGUUGUAUGUUUUUUUUUGUUUUGCUGUUGAAAAGAGACUUAAUUAUAGACAUGACAAAUUAUAUUAUUCAAUUCUUCUGAUAUGACAAAUUGUUUGAUUUGGUUCUUAGGACGUUUCUCCGUCCAUUUAAGCAUUUCACUUUAAUGUAUUUGUCUUUCUAAUUUUCAUUUCAAUAUAUUGAUAGAAUGGGAUUUGUAAUGGAGUGACUUAUUGACAUUGUUCAUGUUCAAGAUACUAGUGCUUCAUCUUUAAAGGAGGAAAUUUUUAAUUUACUUGCUCAACAUUCUUAUAGUCCAUCAAGUGUGCGUGGACAAUGUUACGAUGGGGCAAGUAAUAUGCAAGGUUCUUGAAUCACUUGCUCUUGAUGCAAGGAGUAUGGAUGAAGGAGCCAAGGGAAUGGGACAUCUUGAAGCUUGUCGAACAUUUGAGAUUGCGUUUAUGUUGCAUUUGAUGAGAGAUGUCUUAGCAAUCACAAAUGUGCUUAAUAAAUGCUUAAAAAAUAGCAAGAUAUUGCAAAUGUCAUGCUACUUGUUGAAGUAGCAAAGAGAAGGUUGUAAGUUUAAGAGAUGAUGAAUGAGAUUCUCUUAUUGCCAAGGUA
Molecule: long non-coding RNA, 1218 nt
Organism: Solanum tuberosum (potato)
Lineage: Eukaryota; Viridiplantae; Streptophyta; Magnoliopsida; Solanales; Solanaceae
Exons: 2
Source: RefSeq, a predicted model, not a curated record